Molecule: ribosomal RNA, 708 nt
Filed under: Triticum aestivum (bread wheat)
Lineage: Eukaryota; Viridiplantae; Streptophyta; Magnoliopsida; Poales; Poaceae
Description: partial small subunit ribosomal RNA
Source: RNAcentral
CCCACUUCCCUCAGCGCACGUAUACUCAAGGCAGUUUACUAUCCUGAUCGCAAGUUCCUGGAAGCCGAGCUGGGGAGCAAACCAUCCCAGGGCAUAAUUAAGAGGAUCGGUGCAGGAAGUGCAACGAACAUUUGGCAUGACAAUUGGAUACCCAGGGAUCACAAGUUGAGGCCGGUGUGUCCAAAGACCUCAUACCCUCCGCAGCCUGUAUCGGAUCUGAUUGACCAGAGCAAUGCUUGCUGGAAUAUUGCUGAACUUAAUAAAUACUUUUAUGCGAUGGACAUUGAGGCGAUUCUGAACAUUCCUUUGAGUACUCGAGUUCAAGAUGACUUCUGGGCCUGGCACUAUGAUAGGAGGGGAGUUUUUUCAGUUCGGUCUGCUUAUCGACUUCUAGCCUCGACGAAACAGCAGAGAAUGGAUUGGCUGGAGCAUAACCCGAACCACUCUCAUGGCGACGAGGACAAGAAAUCUUGGGGAAAACUGUGGAACCUGAGUAUCCCAUCCAAGAUUAAGGUGUUUGCUUGGCGUUUAGCCAGGACUUCGCUCCCAACUGGAGAUGUCCGGUGUGACAGGAAAAUGACAAAUACGCCGGCGUGUUCGAUAUGCAACGCGGCUACCGAUUCCUGGAGACACUCCUUAUUUGAUUGCCAUAUGUCCCGAUGUGUGUGGGCCUUAGCCGACGAGGAACUGACAGAAGUUGCUAUCUGA